RNAcentral lists this long non-coding RNA (884 nucleotides) under Daphnia magna. Its description in RNAcentral is "uncharacterized LOC116934697, transcript variant X6". The record is from RNAcentral. Lineage: Eukaryota; Metazoa; Arthropoda; Branchiopoda; Diplostraca; Daphniidae.
CCAGUGGGCUAUGACUACGAGCACCGACAGAUCGACUGCAGCGCCAUUGUGGUGAGUUAGGGGAGUCUGUAUACGCGCUAUACUUCGCACCGACAGACCCAAAAAUAAGCCCGACUAAGUUAGGGGCACUUACGCCGUUCGCUUCCGGACAUUCCUCCUUAAUGCGAAACUAUGGGAUGAGGGCCCCUAAAGCUAAGUCAGGUAAAACAAAAAAGUAAAGUACGCCCACUGUCAGCAGCCUUACAGUGUGCUUCAUAAAUACAUCAACCCCUGAGAUAACAUUAUCGUUGGAAAUUGUGUUUUUGUUGUGGUUCUGUUCUCCACUUUUGUUAUCCACAUGCAAUUUUCACACUACUUCAUUACCUUUGUGGUGUGAUAAUUUAUCAUCCUGGAAAAAGGAUUCUGGAAAUUGAUGAUUUAUAAUAUACAGCUGAUAACGAGAUAUAAUGUAUUUACAUUCCAGAAUGAACUUCCAGUUUGGAGUUGUGAGUGUUUUAUCAGAUUAUGGAUUCCUACUUUGAAAACCAACUAUUUUCUUCUACAAAUGGAUUUUGAAGUAUCAUGUGCAUGUGGUAUUAUGUACUCUAUGAUGGAAGUACUAUCGUGUGCUGCAUAAUGUUAUUACUUUAUGGAAUCAGUUCAUUCAAUUUUAACCUAUUUUUGUAUUCAAAUAUAGAUGUUUGUGAAGCCUUUGAUUGACAUUAUAUAUUAAAAAAUACUCAUGGAAGGAGGUUCUUGCAGGAUCUGUUAUUGGCCGUCUAUGUUAUGCAGUAAAUUGGAUCUGCAGUUCAGUUAGAAACUUUAACUUAAAAAUAUGCUCAGCAUAGAAUUUAUAUGAAAAAUGAUAUUUGAUUGGAAAAGUUCCUGGUUGAGAAAAGAGAUUU